This 468-nucleotide ribosomal RNA is filed under the name uncultured bacterium. RNAcentral describes it as "partial 16S ribosomal RNA". It matches the Rfam family "Bacterial small subunit ribosomal RNA", at positions 28 to 507 of the family's 1533-position model. The record is from RNAcentral.
GACGAACGCUGGCGGCGUGCUUAACACAUGCAAGUCGAACGGAAAGGCCCUGCUUUUGUGGGGUGCUCGAGUGGCGAACGGGUGAGUAACACGUGAGUAACCUGCCCUUGACUUUGGGAUAACUUCAUGAAACUGGGGCUAAUACCGGAUAGGAGCUCCUGCUGCAUGGUGGGGGUUGGAAAGUUUCGGCGGUUGGGGAUGGACUCGCGGCUUAUCAGCUUGUUGGUGGGGUAGUGGCUUACCAAGGCUUUGACGGGUAGCCGGCCUGAGAGGGUGACCGGCCACAUUGGGACGGAGAUACGGCACAGACUACUACGGGAGGCAGCAGUGAGGAAUAUUGCACAAUGGGCGGAAGCCUGAUGCAGCAACGCCGCGUGCGGGAUGACGGCCUUCGGGUUGUAAACCGCUUUCGCCUGUGACGAAGCGUGAGUGACGGUAAUGGGUAAAGAAGCACCGGCUAACUACGUG